UACGUAGGGUGCAAGCGUUGUCCGGAAUUAUUGGGCGUAAAGAGCUCGUAGGCGGUUUGUUGCGUCGGCUGUGAAAACCUGAGGCUCAACCUCAGGCCUGCAGUCGAUACGAGCAGACUAGAGUGUUGCAGGGGAGACUGGAAUUCCUGGUGUAGCGGUGAAAUGCGCAGAUAUCAGGAGGAACACCGGUGGCGAAGGCGGGUCUCUGGGCAACAACUGACGCUGAGGAGCGAAAGCCAGGGGAGCAAACGGG
RNAcentral lists this ribosomal RNA (253 nucleotides) under uncultured bacterium. Its description in RNAcentral is "partial 16S ribosomal RNA". It matches the Rfam family "Bacterial small subunit ribosomal RNA", at positions 524 to 776 of the family's 1533-position model. The record is from RNAcentral.